UAGAGUUCUAAAACUCCCAACCCAUGUGAAUUUACCACUGUUGCCUCGGCGGAGCCUACCCUGUAGCACCUCGCGAGCUACCCUGUAGCGCUCCGCCGGCGGAUUUUUAAACUAUUGUUUUUAUGUUAUCUGAGCGUCUUAUUUUAAUAAGUCA
Molecule: unclassified non-coding RNA, 154 nt
Filed under: uncultured Xylariaceae
Lineage: Eukaryota; Fungi; Ascomycota; Sordariomycetes; Xylariales; Xylariaceae
Description: sequence contains ITS1
Source: RNAcentral